AGGACGAACGCUGGCGGCGUGCUUAACACAUGCAAGUCGAACGAGGUCCAACCCGUCGCAAGACGGGGGAAGACCUAGUGGCGAACGGGUGAGUAACACGUGAGCAACCUGCCCCAAAGACUGGGAUAACACCGGGAAACCGGUGCUAAUACCGGAUACCCUCACCGGGUCGCAUGGCCUGGUGAGGAAAUGAAUUUCGCUUUGGGAGGGGCUCGCGGGAUAUCAGGUAGUUGGUGGGGUAACGGCCUACCAAGCCCUGACGUCUAGCUGGUCUGAGAGGACGAUCAGCCACACUGGGACUGAGACACGGCCCAGACUCCUACGGGAGGCAGCAGUGGGGAAUCUUGCCCAAUGGGCGAAAGCCUGAGGCAGCAACGCGCGUGUGGGAUGACGGCCCUCGGGUUGUAAACCACUUUCAGCAGGACGAAAAGUGACGGUACCUGCAGAAGAAGCUCCGGCCAACACGUGCCAGCACGCCGC
RNAcentral lists this ribosomal RNA (480 nucleotides) under uncultured soil bacterium. Its description in RNAcentral is "bacterial SSU rRNA". It matches the Rfam family "Bacterial small subunit ribosomal RNA", at positions 26 to 518 of the family's 1533-position model. The record is from RNAcentral.